RNAcentral lists this ribosomal RNA (466 nucleotides) under uncultured bacterium. RNAcentral describes it as "partial 16S ribosomal RNA". It matches the Rfam family "Bacterial small subunit ribosomal RNA", at positions 28 to 507 of the family's 1533-position model. The record is from RNAcentral.
GAUGAACGCUGGCGGCGUGCUUAACACAUGCAAGUCGAACGGAAAGGCUCCUGCUUGCAGGGGAACUCGAGUGGCGAACGGGUGAGUAACACGUGGGUGAUCUGCCCUGCACUUCGGGAUAAGCCUGGGAAACUGGGUCUAAUACCGGAUAGGACGAUGGUUUGGAUGCCAUUGUGGAAAGUUUUUUCGGCGUGGGAUGAGCUCGCGGCCUAUCAGCUUGUUGGUGGGGUAAUGGCCUACCAAGGCGUCGACGGGUAGCCGGCCUGAGAGGGUGUACGGCCACAUUGGGACUGAGAUACGGCCCAGACUCCUACGGGAGGCAGCAGUGGGGAAUAUUGCACAAUGGGCGCAAGCCUGAUGCAGCGACGCCGCGUGGGGGAUGACGGCCUUCGGGUUGUAAACUCCUUUCGCUAGGGACGAAGCGCAAGUGACGGUACCUGGAGAAGAAGCACCGGCUAACUACGUG